Buchnera aphidicola (Cinara tujafilina) is the source of this 72-nucleotide transfer RNA. It matches the Rfam family "tRNA". From Rfam's summary of the family: Transfer RNA (tRNA) molecules are approximately 80 nucleotides in length. Their secondary structure includes four short double-helical elements and three loops (D, anti-codon, and T loops). Lineage: Bacteria; Pseudomonadati; Pseudomonadota; Gammaproteobacteria; Enterobacterales; Erwiniaceae. The record is from Rfam.
GUCCCUUUCGUCUAGCGGUUAGGACAUCGCCCUUUCACGGCGGCAACAGGGGUUCAAAUCCCCUAAGGGACA